RNAcentral lists this ribosomal RNA (55 nucleotides) under Myrcia garciae. RNAcentral's name for it is "Calyptranthes garciae partial 28S ribosomal RNA". The record is from RNAcentral. Lineage: Eukaryota; Viridiplantae; Streptophyta; Magnoliopsida; Myrtales; Myrtaceae.
CGCGACCCCAGGUCAAGCGGGGCUACCCGCUGAGUUUAAGCAUAUCAAUAAGCGA